Molecule: ribosomal RNA, 497 nt
Filed under: uncultured bacterium
Lineage: Bacteria
Description: partial 16S ribosomal RNA
Rfam family: Bacterial small subunit ribosomal RNA
Source: RNAcentral
GAUGAACGCUGGCGGCGUGCCUAAUACAUGCAAGUCGAGCGAACAGACGAGGAGCUUGCUCCUCUGACGUUAGCGGCGGACGGGUGAGUAACACGUGGAUAACCUACCUAUAAGACUGGGAUAACUUCGGGAAACCGGAGCUAAUACCGGAUAAUAUAUUGAACCGCAUGGUUCAAUAGUGAAAGACGGUUUUGCUGUCACUUAUAGAUGGAUCCGCGCCGCAUUAGCUAGUUGGUAAGGUAACGGCUUACCAAGGCGACGAUGCGUAGCCGACCUGAGAGGGUGGUCGGCCCCACUGGAACUGAGACACGGUCCAGACUCCUACGGGAGGCGGCAGUAGGCAAUCUUCCGCAAUGGGCGAAAGCCUGACGAAGCAAGGCCGCGUGAGUGAUGAAGGUCUUCGGAUCGUAAAACUCUGUUAUUAGGGAAGAACAAAUGUGUAAGUAACUAUGCACGUCUUGACGGUACCUAGUCAGAAAGCCACGGCUAACUACGUG